This 460-nucleotide ribosomal RNA is filed under the name uncultured bacterium. RNAcentral's name for it is "partial 16S ribosomal RNA". It matches the Rfam family "Bacterial small subunit ribosomal RNA", at positions 338 to 795 of the family's 1533-position model. The record is from RNAcentral.
CCUACGGGGGGCAGCAGUGAGGAAUAUUGGUCAAUGGGCGCGAGCCUGAACCAGCCAAGUAGCGUGAAGGAUGACUGCCCUACGGGUUGUAAACUUCUUUUAUAAAGGAAUAAAGUGAGGCACGUGUGCCUUUUUGUAUGUACUUUAUGAAUAAGGAUCGGCUAACUCCGUGCCAGCAGCCGCGGUAAUACGGAGGAUCCGAGCGUUAUCCGGAUUUAUUGGGUGUAAAGGGAGCGUAGAUGGGUUGUUAAGUCAGUUGUGAAAGUUUGCGGCUAAACCGUAAAAUUUCAAUCGACACUGGCAGCCUUGAGUACAGUUGAGGUAGGCGGAAUUCGUGGUGUAGCGGUGAAAUGCUUAGAUAUCACGAAGAACUCCGAUUGCGAAGGCAGCUUACUAAACUGCCACUGACAUUGAUGCUCGAAAGUGUGGGUAUCAAACAGGAUUAGAUACCCUAGUAGUC